GGGAGUUUGGUCUAGUGGUAUGAUUCUCGCUUCGGGUGAGAGGCCGCGAGUUCGAUCGUAACUCCCC
RNAcentral lists this transfer RNA (67 nucleotides) under Pleodorina starrii. RNAcentral describes it as "tRNA-Arg". Lineage: Eukaryota; Viridiplantae; Chlorophyta; Chlorophyceae; Chlamydomonadales; Volvocaceae. The record is from RNAcentral.